This is a long non-coding RNA of Globicephala melas (long-finned pilot whale), 1246 nucleotides long. RefSeq lists it as uncharacterized. The record is from RefSeq and is a predicted model, not a curated record. NCBI's taxonomy places the organism in Eukaryota, Metazoa, Chordata, Mammalia, Artiodactyla, Delphinidae.
AGCCGCUCGGGAGCGGCUCGGGGUUUGGGGGCCUGGGCUCCCACUGGCGAGGUGCGCCUGGAACGGCGGAUGUCGCGCUGCGCGCUUGGGGGCUUGGGGAACGGAUGCGGGAGAAAAUGGUGGCCGCGCGGCUGAAGGACCUGCCGGAGGGUGCCUGGCUGUUGAGAGGGUGUGGUUGCAGCCACAGUGACCACCGCAGCUUUGCCCCUGUCCUUCUGGUCCAGUCUCCCACGCUGCAGCCACCUUGUCCAGAUCAGGCCUGUGCUGAUCCUGACGCGAUGCCGCCUUCCAGGUCAUCCUCCUUGGAAACUUGUGCGAAGAGCUACAGCCACUCCAUAGCCAGGAGGUGGAGGCACCAAGAUUUGGACGCAGUACACAUUUUGACACUGACACUUCUCUGUCUGGCCUGAUUCCCCUUUUUUUAAAAAAAUUUUAAUUGUACUGAAGUAUAGUUGAUCUACAAUGUUGUGUUAAUUUCUUCUGUAUAGCAAAGUGACCCAGAUAUACACAUAUAUAUAAAUUCUUUUUCGUAUUCUUUUCCACCAUGGUCUGUCACAGAAUAUUGAAUAUAUAAUAGUUCCCUGUGCUCUACAGUAGGACCUUGUCGUCUAUCCAUCCUAUACACACUAGUUUGCCUCUGCUAAUCCCAAACUCUCAUUCCUCCCUCCCCACCUCCUUGGCAGCCACAAGUCUGUUCUCUACAUCUGUGAGUCUAUUUUUGUUUUGUAGAUAUGUUGAUUUGUAUUGUAUUUUAGCUUCCAAAUAUAAGUGAUAUCAUAUGAUAUUUGUCUUUCUCUGUCUGACUUACUUUGCUUAGUAUGAUAAUCUCUAGGUCCAUCCAUGUUGCUACAAAGGGCAUUAUUUCAUUGUUUUUAAUGGCUGAGUACUAUGCCAUUCUUUUUAAUGGCUGAGUACUAUGUACCACAUCUUCUUUAUCCAUGCAUCUGUCAAUGGACAUUUAGGUUCUUUCCAUGUCUUUUUUUUUUUCCAAUGUAUUUUUAAAUUUUAUUUAUUUAUUAUUUUUGGCUGCGUUGGGUCUUUGUUGCUGCGCGAGGGCUUUCUCUAGUUGCAGUGAGCGGGGGCUACUCUUCGUUGUGGUGUGUGGGCUUCUCAUUGCAGUGGCUUCUCUUGUUGCGGAGCACGGGCUCUAGGCAUGCCGGCUUCAGUAGUUGUGGCUCGCGGGCUGUAGAGCACAAGCUCAGUAGUUGUGACGCACGGGCUUAGUUGCUCCGCGGCAUGUGGGAUC